GACGAACGCUGGCGGCGUGCCUAAUACAUGCAAGUAGAACGCUGAAGAGAGGAGCUUGCUCUUCUUGGAUGAGUUGCGAACGGGUGAGUAACGCGUAGGUAACCUGCCUGGUAGCGGGGGAUAACUAUUGGAAACGAUAGCUAAUACCGCAUGAAAUUGAUUAUCGCAUGAUACUUAAUUGAAAGAUGCAAUUGCAUCACUACCAGAUGGACCUGCGUUGUAUCAGCUAGUUGGUGAGGUAACGGCUCACCAAGGCGACGAUACAUAGCCGACCUGAGAGGGUGAUCGGCCACACUGGGACUGAGACACGGCCCAGACUCCUACGGGAGGCAGCAGUAGGGAAUCUUUCGGCAAUGGGGGGAAACCCUGACCGAGCAA
This 378-nucleotide ribosomal RNA is filed under the name Streptococcus sanguinis. RNAcentral describes it as "bacterial SSU rRNA". It matches the Rfam family "Bacterial small subunit ribosomal RNA", at positions 28 to 394 of the family's 1533-position model. Lineage: Bacteria; Bacillati; Bacillota; Bacilli; Lactobacillales; Streptococcaceae. The record is from RNAcentral.